GCCGCCACUGCCGGCCAACGCCGUCGCGCCCACCCCUACCCGACGUGCCUCCAUCCCUGCGAUUUUCCACCGCCGGCGACAAUCAAAGCCGGAUCCGAACCUUCCCCAACUCAUCUUUCCCCUGCUCCUCUGUCGCUGCCGCUCUCCAUCGGCCGACCAACUCCCUCGAGUCAGCGCCAUCUCCUCCAUCUGGUUCCUGCUCGAUCUCCUCCAGGUACAGAUCCUCCACAAUCUCGCGUGACGGGAGAGGAUCCUCCGUGUGCUUCUUGUCGGGCGACAGCGCAGCCCUGCGCCCCUGACGCCGCCGCUCUUCCACGUGAGGAGAUGCUGCCUGCGGCUCGGCCGCCCCAACCCUAGGGCCGACGUCGUGGUCAUCGUCAAGAUCCCCUUCCCCUCUGUCAGCCAUCUUCUCCUCCCCGGUCGACGUCGUCGCCUUCGAGGACGAGGACGACGGUGGUGGCUGCGCGCUUCCCGUCGGCGGAUUCCACCACUACCCCCAGGUUGGGACUGGUGCGCGGGCGUCGACAUCUGUGUGCCCGAGAUCAUCAGAGUUGCAUCAGGCUGGCGCACAUCCUCCGCUACACCCCGACGCUGGAUGCAUCGACCUCAUCCCCUUGCCGCAGGAGAUAGAGGGCCCCCUGGACUGGGACACCGGCGAGAUGGAGGGCAACUUCAGCGCUGACCAGAGAGCCAAGGUGGUGGCCGUGCUCUACAUGGUGCCCGGCGACCUUAACGGCCAGUUCCACGCCAAGAAGAUGGGCUACCACGAGAUGGUCCUGCUCCGCCCCCAGGGCGCCGCUGAGGUGGUCGUGCUGGCUGCCGAAUUCGAUAAUACUCAUAUUUCAUCCCCUGCGUCAGCUCAUUGGCGGAGUUCUUCUCUACAGGUCAGUUUCAUCUUGAGACCUCGGAUGUUUCUCUUGUGAAACCAUAUCUGGGUCUGUACAACAAGAUAUUGGAUCAGAAUGCACAUUGACUAGAUAUGUGUUGAAUAUCAGAGACAAUACAAAAUCGAGUCCAGUACAUCUCAGAUUGUUGUCUGGUUUAUUUUGGAUAAAUUGACAUCAUCCUGGUAUUUAUAUUCAAAGAAGGAUAAAUUAACCUUAUCCAGGUACACAUGAGUAUUUAUAUUCAUCACAGAUUGUUCACAUUUAACUUCAGGUAGCAGAAAAUCAUGCAGCACACACGUUCCAUUAGCCACCUACUUAUGCUUGCAUAUCUUUCCGCGGAGUACUGCACAUCCUGAUCUGCGUCUACUUGACGAGCUGAUGCCACAGAUCAUGUCGAUUUGGUUACCAUUGAGUAGUUGGAGAGCUACCUUAAGACACACGAUGUACCAAUGGUAGUCAUAUAUAUCUUAUAACAGGGCUUUCCUUGAUCAGUGUUGUAUAAAGAUAUGGCCACUGAAUUUGGCGUGCCUGCCUCUUUGUUUUUCCGAAUAAUAUGAGAACUUCUAGCCUUCUAGAACAAGCAUAGUAGCUUAUUUUAACUUUGUCUAAUAAAUAUCCUAUAUGGUCAAUCUAGGAUGAUAUUGGCAGCUCUCCAUUGUACUCUGUCCAUACUACUUUUGCCUUUUUUUUCUUCUGACUCUAUUGCUCUGCUCCAUACCACAACUCUUAAAUUGGACUUUUCGAACAUUUGACAAACAUUAGGAAAUUCAGUCCUGGUACAUUUCCUAGAACCGUGACAUUUAUUUCUUAGUGGAUUUUAAGUUUCAGUCACCCCUAUGGCUAUUUUAAGAAAGAAAGAAAAUAUUAGGUUAUCAAGAAUUUCGCCUCUCCCAUCUCAUUGUGAUUGUGAGCAUGCUCUUCACCUCUGCCAUAUCAUUACCAGUAUGCUCUUAAUGCACUUCAGCAAGUUCAAAUUUCAGUGCGUACUGGAAAUCUCUACCAACUUCUGAGCAAUUCAUUUUGUCAGAAGAUGAUAGUACACGACAGAACACGCCUGCUUCUAGCAAACUGCUGUGUUGUUUCCCUUGGAGGAAAGUGACGAUCUUUCAAGCCAACAACCAGGGGCAUGAGUUCACGUCUUCAGAGAAGAGAUGGCUAUUGAUGAAGCCGAGCUUGAGCCUCUAGAAUUUGCCGAGAAAAUGCACACUCAACGGGAAUUACAACAACAGAAACUGGAGAUGUUAGUUCAAAUUAGAAAACACAAUUCCGAGAGCCAAUCUGUCAUACUUGAGACUUUGCAGAGGCAGUUGGAGAGUGCUGAUUUCGAUACCAGUGCAUCAAUAUUCACUCCGGAGCAGAUCCAAGGGAUUGUUGAGAAAUACUCCAGUUCACAUAUUUCAAGAGAUGUGCAGAUGGGGGACAUGAAAGGAACGAAGGAAAGGGAACGGAACGAGCGAAGAAAGGCUGGGCUGGCUCCAAUGGAGCUAGGACGGCGUGGAGUCAGCAGACGGGGGAGCGCAGGCGCUAGGCAGCGAUCACGGGGCUCCACGUCUACCGUCGGGGCGGCAUGCUCGAUCUGCAGAGGACAUGACGAUGACAGGGAGAAACAAAAAGGUUACAAAUUCAUCUAAUUUCAAUGAUCAUGAAGAGGGGAACAAGUGAUAUGUAUUCAAAUUUGUGGUCUUUCGUCUGCCCAUGAUCUUUCUGUAGUACAAACAUUCUUUUUCAUAUGCCUGCAACAUUUGCGUUGAAUUUAUAUGAUGUUGCUCCUUAAUUAUUUACACUGAUUGAUGUACAGCAAUAUGAGUGCUGCCCUCUAGAGGAGCAUCAAGCUCUAACACUAUGCGCUUGCUCAAGUAGAUCGAGAGCAUCAACACCCGAAGGAGAUAUGGAGGGAGAGAAAUAAGUAUUAUCCCCAUUAUUGCAAUGCACAGGCUCUUUCUUUCUCGUUCUAGAAUUUUUAUAACUGCAUUUGGGUGGACUAUUUUGGUUUUUAAGUGACAUUAAUUACAUUUCAUUAUGCUAAUACUUACUUACCUUUUCUAUUUGUUGAGACCAAAUUUUGAGAAUUAAACCAGUAGUGAAUUCAAUAGAAUCUGAGACGCCUAUAACCUUUGUGCAGGUCUGACAUGAAUAAGGCCGGUCGGUUUUGCAAGAUUGAAAAUGGUGUAUCAUGGCGCAACAAUCAUGAUAUCGAUCAAAUGGACGAAUCACAUCACAAGAGAUACAAGACCUGUUCCUGAUUUACGAAAGACAAAACUUGACACUGGAGCAGUGAGCAAUACCAACGCUUCGGCUGCCAACACUCUCAUGGAGCUUUCUUGGACGUCAUCAAUUUCUUCAGCUAGGAGACCGAUGAGUUUCCGGAUGAUUAGGUGUGACCUUUCUAUCUCCUUUCUCGCAGUGUCAUUUGAAGCUAGGCAUGCAAGGAUGUCUGCUGCUUGAGCAAGCAUCUGUGGUUCACUUUCAGGAUGAUCUAUGAAGAACUUGCCAAUAUUCCUUAUGGUGUACAUAUUACUAGACACUUGGCACCUGAGCUCCUCGCCGGUCUCACCAGCUGUGCUCACAAGCUUGCGCAAGACUUCUAGUUCUUGGCAUUCUUCACCUCCGCACAGUUUUCUGGAUUAGUCAGGAGGUUGUCGAGAAUAUCCACACCAAGCAAUUUGAGCUCUUUGCUUGCACAGGUUGAAUUGCUGGAACUUCCACUGGUCUUGGUCCUGCGUGCGCUAAGCAGUGAAGAAAUAGAUUGAAAAAUACCAGGAAAGUUCUCGACUUGAAGGCCAGGUGCGAGCUCCAGCAGUAUGCGCGCAGCAUGCCCUCUGGUGUCUUGUUCCACCUCUCUGUCCAAGCCCAUCAUGUAUACUGCUUUCUCGACGGUAUCAAGAGAAGAUCGAAUCUUGACGCAAUGAAGACAUAACAAUGCAAGCAAUGAGUGCGGCUAGCUGCACUUGUCCAAGGACACUUGAGAAGAGGACUGCAAAGCAAGAUCUACCAGAUAUGAAGACACCUUUUAACUCGUGCAAUGCCAGAAGCUUGUCACUUAAGGACUCUGCAGGGCUUGCAUGCCUCCGCCAACUUCCACGCCCGAGGACCGCAAUUUUUUCCGCUUUUAUCAUUGUUUCAGGUAGGCGAAGGAAGAACUGGUCCUCGGCUUUCACAUUGUUAAAAAGCCUGCCAAUUGAAAAACAAAUUAUAUAUGCAAAAUAAAGCCGGGAUCAACAUAUAAUCAUUGAUGUAGUGAUCUUUAUAAGGUUGCCCAUAAUGAGAGUAUUAUAGCUAGUA
Molecule: RNA transcript, 4169 nt
Organism: Triticum aestivum (bread wheat)
Lineage: Eukaryota; Viridiplantae; Streptophyta; Magnoliopsida; Poales; Poaceae
Exons: 12
Source: RefSeq, a predicted model, not a curated record